GACGAACGCUGGCGGCGUGCUUAACACAUGCAAGUCGAACGGAAAGGCCCUGCUUUUGUGGGGUGCUCGAGUGGCGAACGGGUGAGUAACACGUGAGUAACCUGCCCUUGACUUUGGGAUAACUUCAGGAAACUGGGGCUAAUACCGGAUAGGAGCUCCUGCUGCAUGGUGGGGGUUGGAAAGUUUCGGCGGUUGGGAAUGGACUCGCGGCUUAUCAGCUUGUUGGUGGGGUAGUGGCUUACCAAGGCUUUGACGGGUAGCCGGCCUGAGAGGGUGACCGGCCACAUUGGGACUGAGAUACGGCCCAGACUCCUACGGGAGGCAGCAGUGGGGAAUAUUGCACAAUGGGCGGAAGCCUGAUGCAGCAACGCCGCGUGCGGGAUGACGGCCUUCGGGUUGUAAACCGCUUUCGCCUGUGACGAAGCGUGAGUGACGGUAAUGAGUAAAGAAGCACCGGCUAACUACGUG
This 468-nucleotide ribosomal RNA is filed under the name uncultured bacterium. Its description in RNAcentral is "partial 16S ribosomal RNA". It matches the Rfam family "Bacterial small subunit ribosomal RNA", at positions 28 to 507 of the family's 1533-position model. The record is from RNAcentral.